GGUUAAGCGACUAAGCGUACACGGUGGAUGCCCUGGCAGUCAGAGGCGAUGAAGGACGUGCUAAUCUGCGAUAAGCGUCGGUAAGGUGAUAUGAACCGUUAUAACCGGCGAUUUCCGAAUGGGGAAACCCAGUGUGAUUCGUCACACUAUCAUUACGUGAAUACAUAGCGUAAUGAAGCGAACCGGGGGAACUGAAACAUCUAAGUACCCCGAGGAAAAGAAAUCAACCGAGAUUCCCCCAGUAGCGGCGAGCGAACGGGGAGCAGCCCAGAGUCUGAAUCAGCUUGUGUGUUAGUGGAACGGUCUGGAAAGUCCGACGGUACAGGGUGAUAGUCCCGUACACCAAAAUGCACAGGUUGUGAACUCGAAGAGUAGGGCGGGACACGUGGUAUCCUGUCUGAAUAUGGGGGGACCAUCCUCCAAGGCUAAAUACUCCUGACUGACCGAUAGUGAACCAGUACCGUGAGGGAAAGGCGAAAAGAACCCCGGCGAGGGGAGUGAAAAAGAACCUGAAACCGUGUACGUACAAGCAGUGGGAGCAUCCUUUUGGGUGUGACUGCGUACCUUUUGUAUAAUGGGUCAGCGACUUAUAUUCUGUAGCAAGGUUAACCGUAUAGGGGAGCCGAAGGGAAACCGAGUCUUAACUGGGCGUUAAGUUGCAGGGUAUAGACCCGAAACCCGGUGAUCUAGCCAUGGGCAGGUUGAAGGUUGGGUAACACUAACUGGAGGACCGAACCGACUAAUGUUGAAAAAUUAGCGGAUGACUUGUGGCUGGGGGUGAAAGGCCAAUCAAACCGGGAGAUAGCUGGUUCUCCCCGAAAGCUAUUUAGGUAGCGCCUCGUGAACUCAUCUUCGGGGGUAGAGCACUGUUUCGGCUAGGGGGUCAUCCCGACUUACCAACCCGAUGCAAACUGCGAAUACCGAAGAAUGUUAUCACGGGAGACACACGGCGGGUGCUAACGUCCGUCGUGAAGAGGGAAACAACCCAGACCGCCAGCUAAGGUCCCAAAGUCAUGGUUAAGUGGGAAACGAUGUGGGAAGGCACAGACAGCCAGGAUGUUGGCUUAGAAGCAGCCAUCAUUUAAAGAAAGCGUAAUAGCUCACUGGUCGAGUCGGCCUGCGCGGAAGAUGUAACGGGGCUAAACCAUGCACCGAAGCUGCGGCAGCGACACUAUGUGUUGUUGGGUAGGGGAGCGUUCUGUAAGCCGUUGAAGUGGAGGUAUCAGAAGUGCGAAUGCUGACAUAAGUAACGAUAAUGCGGGUGAAAAACCCGCACGCCGGAAGACCAAGGGUUCCUGUCCAACGUUAAUCGGGGCAGGGUGAGUCGACCCCUAAGGCGAGGCCGAAAGGCGUAGUCGAUGGGAAACAGGUUAAUAUUCCUGUACUUGGUGUUACUGCGAAGGGGGGACGGAGAAGGCUAUGUUAGCCGGGCGACGGUUGUCCCGGUUUAAGCAUGUAGGCGGAGGUUCCAGGUAAAUCCGGUACCUUUUUAACGCUGAGGUGUGAUGACGAGGCACUACGGUGCUGAAGUAACAAAUGCCCUGCUUCCAGGAAAAGCCUCUAAGCAUCAGGUAACACGAAAUCGUACCCCAAACCGACACAGGUGGUCAGGUAGAGAAUACCAAGGCGCUUGAGAGAACUCGGGUGAAGGAACUAGGCAAAAUGGUGCCGUAACUUCGGGAGAAGGCACGCUGAUAUGUAGGUGAAGUGAUUUACUCAUGGAGCUGAAAUCAGUCGAAGAUACCAGCUGGCUGCAACUGUUUAUUAAAAACACAGCACUGUGCAAACACGAAAGUGGACGUAUACGGUGUGACGCCUGCCCGGUGCCGGAAGGUUAAUUGAUGGGGUUAUCCGUAAGGAGAAGCUCUUGAUCGAAGCCCCGGUAAACGGCGGCCGUAACUAUAACGGUCCUAAGGUAGCGAAAUUCCUUGUCGGGUAAGUUCCGACCUGCACGAAUGGCGUAAUGAUGGCCAGGCUGUCUCCACCCGAGACUCAGUGAAAUUGAACUCGCUGUGAAGAUGCAGUGUACCCGCGGCAAGACGGAAAGACCCCGUGAACCUUUACUAUAGCUUGACACUGAACACUGGUCCUUGAUGUGUAGGAUAGGUGGGAGGCUUUGAAGUGUGGACGCCAGUCUGCAUGGAGCCAUCCUUGAAAUACCACCCUUUAAUGGCUGGUGUUCUAACGUGGACCCGUAAUCCGGGUUGCGGACAGUGUCUGGUGGGUAGUUUGACUGGGGCGGUCUCCUCCUAAAGAGUAACGGAGGAGCACGAAGGUUAGCUAAUCCUGGUCGGACAUCAGGAGGUUAGUGCAAAGGCAUAAGCUAGCUUGACUGCGAGAGUGACGGCUCGAGCAGGUGCGAAAGCAGGUCUUAGUGAUCCGGUGGUUCUGAAUGGAAGGGCCAUCGCUCAACGGAUAAAAGGUACUCCGGGGAUAACAGGCUGAUACCGCCCAAGAGUUCAUAUCGACGGCGGUGUUUGGCACCUCGAUGUCGGCUCAUCACAUCCUGGGGCUGAAGUAGGUCCCAAGGGUAUGGCUGUUCGCCAUUUAAAGUGGUACGCGAGCUGGGUUUAGAACGUCGUGAGACAGUUCGGUCCCUAUCUGCCGUGGGCGCUGGAGAAUUGAGGGGGGCUGCUCCUAGUACGAGAGGACCGGAGUGGACGCAUCACUGGUGUUCGGGUUGUCAUGCCAAUGGCAUUGCCCGGUAGCUAAAUGCGGAAGAGAUAAGUGCUGAAAGCAUCUAAGCACGAAACUUGCCCCGAGAUGAGUUCUCCCUGAGACUUUAAGUCUCCUGAAGGAACGUUGAAGACGACGACGUUGAUAGGUCGGGUGUGUAAGCGUAGCGAUACGUUGAGCUAACCGAUACUAAUGAACCGUGAGGCUUAACCUU
This 2890-nucleotide ribosomal RNA is filed under the name Citrobacter freundii. Its description in RNAcentral is "23S ribosomal RNA". It matches the Rfam family "Bacterial large subunit ribosomal RNA". The record is from RNAcentral. Lineage: Bacteria; Pseudomonadati; Pseudomonadota; Gammaproteobacteria; Enterobacterales; Enterobacteriaceae.